CCUACGGGAGGCAGCAGUGAGGAAUAUUGGUCAAUGGGCUUACGCCUGAACCAGCCAAGUCGCGUGAGGGAAGACUGCCCUAUGGGUUGUAAACCUCUUUUGUCAGGGAGCAACGCCGGCUACGUGUAGCCGGACUGAGAGUACCUGAAGACAAAGCAUCGACUAACUCCGUGCCAGCAGCCGCGGUAAUACGGAGGAUGCGAGCGUUAUCCGGAUUUAUUGGGUUAAAGGGGUGCGUUGGCGGAAUGUCAGGUCAGCGGGAAAAUCGCGGGGCUCAACCUCGCUCCGCCGUUGAAACUGGCGUACUUGAGUGGGCGAGAAGUAUGCGGAAUGCGUGGUGUAGCGGUGAAAUGCAUAGAUAUCACGCAGAACUACGAUGGCGAAGGCAGCAUACCGGCGCCCAACUGACGCUGAAGCACGAAAGCGUGGGUAUCGAACAGGAUUAGAUACCCUUGUAGUC
This 460-nucleotide ribosomal RNA is filed under the name uncultured bacterium. RNAcentral's name for it is "partial 16S ribosomal RNA". It matches the Rfam family "Bacterial small subunit ribosomal RNA", at positions 338 to 795 of the family's 1533-position model. The record is from RNAcentral.